CCACCCCCGGAUAACUUGAUCACCGAUGGGGUCGACGUUUUGAAGGCCUUUCGAUGACGUUCAAUGAAAACUGGAAGGAAUGCAGAUCGGUGGGCUAUCUCUUUUUAACAACCUUACGGAACACGUGUUUGUAUCGUUCGACGAAAGAAACGUUCCUGAAAAUGUACUUUAUAAAUGCAUAUCUAUAUAACAUAUGUAUAUCCAUAUAACAAGAAUACAGUUUUACAAAGUACAAACUCCUUUAGGGACCCUUAGGUUGCUACAGAAACACAUACAGGUCUCACACAAAGAAGUUUAAUAAUUCAACAAGAAAGUCGCGACGUUGGAACACACAUUUGAGCUUAUCGAUCGAGAAAAGAUGCUUUUUCCUCGAAGAAAAUGCACGUAACGGUAAAUAAACAUGAGAUAUUCGAUAAGAGUGUUUCGAACGAAAGAAGUAAAAAAUAAAAAA
Long non-coding RNA from Vespa mandarinia (Asian giant hornet), 451 nucleotides. The record is from RefSeq and is a predicted model, not a curated record. NCBI's taxonomy places the organism in Eukaryota, Metazoa, Arthropoda, Insecta, Hymenoptera, Vespidae.